This 541-nucleotide small RNA is filed under the name Phoma sp. QL59. Its description in RNAcentral is "eukaryotic LSU rRNA". The stretch from base 171 to 324 matches the Rfam family "5.8S ribosomal RNA". The record is from RNAcentral. Lineage: Eukaryota; Fungi; Ascomycota; Dothideomycetes; Pleosporales; Didymellaceae.
UCCGUAGGUGAACCUGCGGAAGGAUCAUUACCUAGAGUUGCGGGCUUUGCCUGCCAUCUCUUACCCAUGUCUUUUGAGUACCUUACGUUUCCUCGGCGGGUCCGCCCGCCGACUGGACAAUUUAAACCACUUGCAGUUGCAAUCAGCGUCUGAAAAAACUUAAUAGUUACAACUUUCAACAACGGAUCUCUUGGUUCUGGCAUCGAUGAAGAACGCAGCGAAAUGCGAUAAGUAGUGUGAAUUGCAGAAUUCAGUGAAUCAUCGAAUCUUUGAACGCACAUUGCGCCCCUUGGUAUUCCAUGGGGCAUGCCUGUUCGAGCGUCAUUUGUACCUUCAAGCCUUGCUUGGUGUUGGGUGUUUGUCUCGCCUCUGCGCGUAGACUCGCCUCAAAACAAUUGGCAGCCGGCGUAUUGAUUUCGGAGCGCAGUACAUCUCGCGCUUUGCACUCAGAACGACGACGUCCAAAAGUACAUUUUUACACUCUUGACCUCGGAUCAGGUAGGGAUACCCGCUGAACUUAAGCAUAUCAAUAAGCGGAGGA